GACGUAGGGCGCGAGCGUUGUCCGGAUUUAUUGGGCGUAAAGAGCUCGUAGGCGGCUUGUCGCGUCGAAUGUGAAAACCCACGGCUCAACUGUGGGCUUGCAUUCGAUACGGGCAGGCUAGAGUUCGGUAGGGGAGACGUGGAAUUCCUGGUGUAGCGGUGAAAUGCGCAGAUAUCAGGAGGAACACCGAUGGCGAAGGCAGGUCUCUGGGCCGAUACUGACGCUGAGGAGCGAAAGCGUGGGGAGCGAACAGG
RNAcentral lists this ribosomal RNA (254 nucleotides) under uncultured bacterium. RNAcentral's name for it is "partial 16S ribosomal RNA". It matches the Rfam family "Bacterial small subunit ribosomal RNA", at positions 524 to 776 of the family's 1533-position model. The record is from RNAcentral.